GCGUGCGGCCGCCGAGCACAUGGGUCCGCGGGCCCGGCGGGCUCGGGGCGGCGGGGACGAGCGGGAGCAGCCAGGAGCCGAGGGCGAGGACGGGCCCCCGCGCCCCCCGAGUGGGUUUCCACGCCGAAGGGAUGUUGGCGGCCCCGGUGACCCGUGGAGGCAGGGCGGGAUCCACCCUCCACCCAUCCAUUACCGGAAGAGCAAAUGACUUGAAAGGAAUCUCACAGCAAGUGAGCAGCAGAGAACACGAAAAUGCUUCCUGAGAGAGACACUGUGGUCUGACGACACCAGCAGUCAUGGGGAGUGAUGCCCCACAUCGUGCAUUCUUGCAGCUGUUGUGUUGCCUUGAUCUCUGUCCUGAUUCUUCUAUCCAGUAAGACGAUCUGAGUUUUAGCCACCUUCCUGGUUCAGAGGCCUGAUCUUUGGACCAGAAGGAGAUUAAAAGAUGCCCCCGAAGAUGGCUGUGACUGUCACUUCCAUGGAGCUGCGGUCAAGGAUUUUCUGAGCCUGAUGGAUUUACAGUGAUACUCGGCCGCCUGGGGAAUAACGCUGUUGAGGCUUGCACUGGAAUUACUCACACCCGGCGCACUUCAGGAUGCUGAAAGUGGUUCUAAGGAAGGCCCUGGCUGGAUGCCUCGUGGGUUCUCAUGGCCCGGGUGCCCAGCAGGACAGAGGACCGUGGCGGCCUGCGCGGGCUGAGUAGUCCAUUCUUGUGGCGGACGGGAGUGUCUCUGCCAGCUCCCUGGGGGGCUCCCUGUGAAAUGAAGGUCUGGAAGGAAGGGAGGUUGUCUGAGAGUGCCUCAGUGAUCCCUGGAAUGGGCCUGCCAAAGAUGAAGGAGGGAGAGAUGACCAACCUUUGCUCACGGUUGCCCCAAACUGUCUUAGAAUUCGUUUAUAUCUGGGAUUUAGGCACUUUUCAUCUGAAAAAAUACAUUCAGCAUUCCAGAUGGAUUUGAGAACUGUUCUUCUCUGAACUAAAGCUGGAAUAUUUGGGGAUUUGGAGAAUUAAGCUGCAAAUGGACCAGCACCCACUCGAGGUGGUCAUGAAGGUUGCAGAACCUGGCUCAGGAGUAUGAUAAUCAGCCUCCGGUUCUCAAAGGAACAGAAGUGCUGGCUUCUUGUGCACUGGCCUGCCCUAGCAGCAGAUCCAGCCCCCGAAGACAGGGGGAGAAGGACAUUUGGCCUUGCGACAGCCGUGGAUGUCUGACUCAUCCUGGAUGCUUGACUUGCCAUACACAUCAUCCCUGGAAAGCCACAGAGUCUUCUUGGCCCCAGGCCUGGACUGGAGAAUGGGGCCUCACUGAUGAGAGGAACAGCUCAGCUUGGCUGUGUUUUCCGUAGGUGACCUUCCCUAUUCCAGUGUCUUUCUCAUACUUUUGAGAAUCACUGCAGCCCUUAAGUGCUGCCCCCUCUUUGCCCAGAGACAGUGGGGUUUAGAGUCACGGAGACUUAGUUCCGCCAAUGAGGAGGUGUAAAGUCCUUGACCAUCCUUCUGAAGUCAGACUGUUUGGCUUCUGAUCCUGGCUGCCUUAUUUACCAGCAGUUGUCUUAAUGACUGUCUUGGUUUCCUCAUCUGUAAAAUGAGACUAUGGAAGAUUGAAUUACUGGUUCCAGUUCUUUACUCCUCCACAAUAAAAUUGUACAUUCUUACCUUCACCAUGGCCUCAAGGUGGGUGGAAUGCACUUUUUCAGCCCUGACUUUGGUCUUGCCCAUGUUACUUGCUUUGGUCCAUGGGAUGCUGUUAGCAACAUAACCAAAGUGGAGGAUUAAAUGCGUGGGCUUGCUUUCCUGCAUACCUUUCAUUGGGACAACAUGCCUUUGGGAGCCUGUGAUCUACAAAACAUAAGAGACAUAAAGCAGAUUCAGAAUUAACACCUAAUAUGGAGCCAAAUGCAAACAAACCCUGAUUAUAUCAGCCAACCCCUAGCUGACUGGCAGAUAUGAUACUGAGCAGUAAAUGCUUACUAUUGUAUGCCGUGGAGUUUGGAGAUGUGGUGCUAUACAGUGUUUUGUGGCCAUAAGGUGGACUAAGAUACCACCUCAAGAUUAUCAUAAGAACUGAAUUGGUUCAUGUAUUAGUUUUCUCUUGCUACUGUAAUAAAUUACCA
Molecule: long non-coding RNA, 2109 nt
Organism: Cynocephalus volans (Philippine flying lemur)
Lineage: Eukaryota; Metazoa; Chordata; Mammalia; Dermoptera; Cynocephalidae
Exons: 8
Source: RefSeq, a predicted model, not a curated record